AGCGAACGCUGGCGGCAGGCUUAACACAUGCAAGUCGAGCGGGCAUAGCAAUAUGUCAGCGGCAGACGGGUGAGUAACGCGUGGGAACGUACCUUUUGGUUCGGAACAACACAGGGAAACUUGUGCUAAUACCGGAUAAGCCCUUACGGGGAAAGAUUUAUCGCCGAAAGAUCGGCCCGCGCCUGAUUAGCUAGUUGGUGAGGUAAUGGCUCACCAAGGCGACGGUCAGUAGCUGGUCUGAGAGGAUGAUCAGCCACAUUGGGACUGAGACACGGCCCAAACUCCUACGGGAGGCAGCAGUGGGGAAUAUUGGACAAUGGGCGCAAGCCUGAUCCAGCCAUGCCGCGUGAGUGAUGAAGGCCCUAGGGUUGUAAAGCUCUUUUGUGCGGGAAGAUAAUGACGGUACCGCAAGAAUAAGCCCCGGCUAACUUCGUGCCAGCAGCCGCCGUAA
RNAcentral lists this ribosomal RNA (451 nucleotides) under uncultured bacterium. RNAcentral's name for it is "partial 16S ribosomal RNA". It matches the Rfam family "Bacterial small subunit ribosomal RNA", at positions 29 to 523 of the family's 1533-position model. The record is from RNAcentral.